This 254-nucleotide ribosomal RNA is filed under the name uncultured bacterium. Its description in RNAcentral is "partial 16S ribosomal RNA". It matches the Rfam family "Bacterial small subunit ribosomal RNA", at positions 524 to 776 of the family's 1533-position model. The record is from RNAcentral.
UACGUAGGGGGCAAGCGUUGGUCCGGAAUCAUUGGGCGUAAAGCGCGUGUAGGCGGUCCGGUAAGUCCGCUGUGAAAGUCGGGGGCUUAACCCUCGGAUGCCGGUGGAUACUGUCGGGCUUGAGUACGGAAGAGGCGAGUGGAAUUCCUGGUGUAGCGGUGAAAUGCGCAGAUAUCAGGAGGAACACCAAUUGCGAAGGCAGCUCGCUGGGACGUUACUGACGCUGAGACGCGAAAGCGUGGGGAGCAAACAGG